RNAcentral lists this ribosomal RNA (1319 nucleotides) under Ctenophora environmental sample. RNAcentral's name for it is "partial Bacterial small subunit ribosomal RNA". It matches the Rfam family "Bacterial small subunit ribosomal RNA", at positions 1 to 1317 of the family's 1533-position model. Lineage: Eukaryota; Metazoa; Ctenophora. The record is from RNAcentral.
CUGAAGAGUUUGAUCAUGGCUCAGAUUGAACGCUGGCGGCAGGCCUAAGACAUGCAAGUCGAACGGUAACGACACUAGCUUGCUAGUGGUCGACGAGUGGCGGACGGGUGAGUAACGCGUAGGAAUCUACCUAGUAGUGGGGGAUAGCCAAGGGAAACUUUGGGUAAUACCGCAUACGAUCUAAGGAUGAAAGGGGGCCUCUCUUUGAAGCUCUCGCUAUUAGAUGAGCCUGCGUAAGAUUAGCUUGUUGGUGGGGUAAUGGCCCACCAAGGCGACGAUCUUUAGCUGGUCUGAGAGGAUGAUCAGCCACACCGGGACUGAGACACGGCCCGGACUCCUACGGGAGGCAGCAGUCGGGAAUAUUGCGCAAUGGGGGAAACCCUGACGCAGCCAUGCCGCGUGUGUGAAGAAGGCCCUAGGGUUGUAAAGCACUUUUAGUAGUGAGGAAGGCUCAGUAGUUAAUACCUACUGGGAUUGACGUUAGCUACAGAAAAAGCACCGGCUAAUUUCGUGCCAGCAGCCGCGGUAAUACGAAAGGUGCAAGCGUUAAUCGGAAUUACUGGGCGUAAAGCGCGCGUAGGCGGACUGGAAAGUUGGGGGUGAAAUCCCAGGGCUCAACCCUGGAACUGCCUCCAAAACUAUCAGUCUAGAGUUCGAGAGAGGUGAGUGGAAUUCCGAGUGUAGAGGUGAAAUUCGUAGAUAUUCGGAGGAACACCAGUGGCGAAGGCGGCUCACUGGCUCGAUACUGACGCUGAGGUGCGAAAGUGUGGGGAGCAAACAGGAUUAGAUACCCUGGUAGUCCACACCGUAAACGAUGAAUGCCAGUCGUCGGGUAGCAUGCUAUUCGGUGACACACCUAACGGAUUAAGCAUUCCGCCUGGGGAGUACGGUCGCAAGAUUAAAACUCAAAGAAAUUGACGGGGGCCCGCACAAGCGGUGGAGCAUGUGGUUUAAUUCGAUGAUACGCGAGGAACCUUACCAGGGCUUAAAUGUAGUAUGACCGGCUUGGAAACAGGCCUUCUCUUCGGAGCAGAUUACAAGGUGCUGCAUGGUUGUCGUCAGCUCGUGCCGUGAGGUGUUAGGUUAAGUCCUGCAACGAGCGCAACCCCUAUUCUUAGUUGCCAGCGGUUCGGCCGGGGACUCUAAGAAGACUGCCAGCGCAAGCUGAGAGGAAGGUGGGGAUGACGUCAAAUCAUCACGGCCCUUACGUCCUGGGCUACACACGUGCUACAAUGGUAGGGACAGAGAGCAGCCACUGGGCGACCAGGAGCAAAUCUAUAAACCCUAUCACAGUUCGGAUCGGAGUCUGCAACUCGACU